UACGGGGGGGGCAAGCGUUGUUCGGAAUUACUGGGCGUAAAGGGCUCGUAGGCGGCCAACUAAGUCAGACGUGAAAUCCCUCGGCUUAACCGGGGAACUGCGUCUGAUACUGGAUGGCUGGAGUUUGGGAGAGGGAUGCGGAAUUCCAGGUGUAGCGGUGAAAUGCGUAGAUAUCUGGAGGAACACCGGUGGCGAAGGCGGCAUCCUGGACCGACACUGACGCUGAGGAGCGAAAGCCAGGGGAGCAAACGGG
RNAcentral lists this ribosomal RNA (253 nucleotides) under uncultured bacterium. Its description in RNAcentral is "partial 16S ribosomal RNA". It matches the Rfam family "Bacterial small subunit ribosomal RNA", at positions 524 to 776 of the family's 1533-position model. The record is from RNAcentral.